AGGGACAGAGAUGAGAUAUGGGUGCCCUAAAGAACAGCAGCUUGUGGUGCUAAUGUUUGCAUCUGUGCUAAGGGAAAAAAUGCCAGGCAGUGAUAUUUUAAUUCCUCUUCUACUUUCUGGGCCAUAUAAGUAUCUUUGUUAUCCUUCAAAUUAUAGUUUUAUGAAGAAAAAAAAAGUUAAUGUACUGUAGGCUACUCAUAGAAACAAAAUACUAACCAAAAAAAUUUCAUUUACACAGAACUGUGCACGACAGCUGCACUUCAUAAACUUUAUUAUCACAAUGUUAAAUUUAUGUUGCUUUAUGACAAGUACUAUGGGUGACAUAACCUUGGCCUACAAUUUAACAUUCUCUGGCAAAUUGAAACUACUCAAAACUAUCAAAUUUCUCUGUCAAGUCUAUACUGUAUACCUGUGAGGCAGUGCAUGGCUUAAGAGCUCAACAGCCUUCACUAAUAACUGUCAGCCGUGCAAAGAAAAUGACUGGAAUGUCUUAGAAUGGGUUAGCCUCACUGAACAUUUUGUUUGAACUAUUAUCAAUAUGACCAGACUAUUACACCUCAGCUGAUGUCAUUUGUCCUCAGACGUUUACACUUACCAUCUCUGGCAAGCCUUUGACCCUCCCUCUCUAGGCUCUAGCCCCCUGCUGAUGAGACUGCCCUUCCCCUCCGCCCAUCACUCCCUCCCUGUGCAAUCUGGGGUCCGCAUAUGGCCUGAGAAUUACUCGGUUUACAGACAGUACUCGGUUCCCCCAUCACUGCUGAGAAUUGACAAACAUGGGAGUUCACGUCCAAAUGAUAACACUUAUUCAUCACUUCUUAUAUACAGUGGACGUGCACCGCGUUAACCUUCCGGGAGGGUGCAAUGCGGCGCUGGGCAAUAGGCUAUAUUCUUUAUUUCGAAGCCCAAGCGCACACAUUUGAGAAGGCUGUUGUAGGAGUUUUGGGGAUUUGCAGAGGUAGUUUUACGACCUUUCUGGUAGUCUGAUUAUUCUUUUGUGCCAUGGACCUAUAAAAGCACUCAUUAAAACGCGAUUGAUCUCACUUUCGGCCUUUGGAAAUAGUUGUGAGUGGCGGAAGCUUCUGAAAUGACUCGUGGCCAUGGGAGCGGGGCAGGAAUUCAGCGUUGCCAGAUUGUCGUACUCUGCCUCUUAUGUUUGCCGAGUUCCGACCCAAACACUGCUUUCAUCACCCAAAUAACUGCAUUCAUUCAUGGUAAUCGUUUAAGUGGUUAAUUAUUGAUGCUUCUUGGCAAGUUAUGGGACAGACACCGAUGAAUAUGUGGCUCUGAGUACGAUAAUAUGGCAACGGUGGGCAGAAUACGGUGAGGGGAAAACAUUGGCCAACGCAUAACUCUGGUCGUUACCCACAUGAUAGAGAUAUAAGCUAGAUAUCAACGGCGUGACUUCCUGGCAGUAUGGUGAGUGUGAGGCAUCGCUGCGGCAUAAUAAGCCUAUAAUGCAGAUUACCGUACUCGGAGCAUCACAUAUCCCGGCUUCUCACCCUUUAAAUAUCACCAGGAAACAAGAAUAAUUAACCAUUUCAACGAUAAUAGCAUAAAAAGCCAGUUACUGGGACACAGGAGACUGGUUUUGGGUUGGAAAUCGGGAAAUAUGAGAAACUGAGUACGACAAUCUGGCAACGUUGGUCCCACGCCCGCCCGCCGCAGCCCUGCCUCGAACCAAGCGAUAGGCUAUUUCACUGCUUCACUCCCUUCAAAUAACACCAAAUGCCCAGUAUCUAAUGUUCUUUUUUAUACAUAUCCUUUACCUGGAUGCUUCUUAUGUGCAUGGCUUAUGUUAUGUGAGAUGAAUAACGGUGUAUCCGCACUGCGAGACGCUUCAGGACAGUCUUAUGUUAAUGUUUCGUCUUCUAUCUCACUUAAAUAACACUAUGAUGUUUAUUUUUUAUAUUUUUUCAACAUAUUCUGUACCUGCAUGGUUUAUGUACAUAGUGCGAGAUAAAAGAUGUGCCCGCAAGGCGAUGUUCUCCUUUAACACUACGCCAUAGCCUGGCAGCGUCAUGGACCAACUUACACUGGUUCAGAACUUUCGUUACGCCAAAUACGCAGCUUUGUAUGAGUGUUUGAAUACUUAUUUGCAAAGAUUAAAUUAAAUGAAUGUUUUUUUAGGUUAUUUUAUCAAGUAUAUGUAUUGCAAUAAGGGAUAACAGAAGAAACUGUCCCCAGGUAGUGACACACCUGCCCCUCGUGACCUGCCCAAACCCUCUCGCAAGGUGACGCCAUGGCAGGUGGACGCGGGGAAGUGCCCUCCGGCGAUAUCCACCGCCAUCCGCCCAUCCCUGCCACUCAGCCGCCUACAGUUCCCAUGCAUGGACACAAGUUGGAAGCUGAUGCCAACAUCCUCAUUACAAUCAGCUGUCAGUGGUUUGUACCAGGAGCACUGGAGUGAACCAUGACAAUUCACUGCUUGACCCACAGCCACCACUGAUUAAAGGUAGCUACGUCUGUUUGUGUGUUACCUGUGAAUGAAUCGGAGGACGUCGACGCCGAUUGCUUGUAAACAUUCAUCCCAUCCAAGAGGCGACUCCAGGUUAUACAAGACGAGAGAGGGGAACGCAUAACCUUCCCUUGUGUGAUACAUCCUGGUGUUAAGUAAUGAGACUACCAAAUCCGCCUCACCGAUCGUCGUGCACUGAGAGAAAGAAAAAAAUUGAGCAAGUGAACGCAGUGAACAAAGAAGAGAAUAACGACAAGAAGAUAAAAGGAAGGGAAAAUAUGUAGCUCGGGGCACCUUCUUGAGGCCGCCAACUCGCCACUCCUCAUCUUAGGUAAGAAACACGUUAUUUUCCCUUGUUAUUUUACCUUUCUUCAGAUUUUGACGUUCCUGUGCCCCGGCUAUCUAAUACAUUCCUUUUUUUGUCCCGUGAGAAUGUCCUUUAAUCCCCUUUUUUCUCAUUAUUCCUUAUUGCUAUUGCUACUACAAUAUACCUUUUGAUACUAUUUUGUUGACCAGCCACCUAAUUUAUCCCGUUUUUGUCUCUUGCUAAUUUCCUUCAGCACUAUUUAUCAUUAUUCUUUGUCUCCUUCAUAUUUUUAUUCCUAUUCUAGUUCUUGUUAUUACUACUACAACAUUUUUUUUUUUUACUUUCCUCAGCCCCGGCUAUGUAAUGUAUCCGUCUUUUGUCCUGUGCUAGUUUCCUUCAGCACUAUUUAUCAUUAUUCUUAUUUUCAUUAUAGUUCCUCUUAUUUUUACUAGUAUCGGCGCCAUGAAGAUAUACCCCAAUCAGUCAAUCAUUCUAAAUCAAUCUGUCUAAAUUAAUCAGUCUAUAGCAAUCAGUCGAAAUCAGUCAGUUAAUCAAUCAGUUUAAAUCAAUCAUCCAGUCUUAUUAACAUUAUUACUAUCAUUAUUUUUGC
Long non-coding RNA from Eriocheir sinensis (Chinese mitten crab), 3372 nucleotides. RefSeq lists it as uncharacterized. The transcript has 5 exons. The record is from RefSeq and is a predicted model, not a curated record. NCBI's taxonomy places the organism in Eukaryota, Metazoa, Arthropoda, Malacostraca, Decapoda, Varunidae.